RNAcentral lists this ribosomal RNA (490 nucleotides) under uncultured bacterium. RNAcentral describes it as "partial 16S ribosomal RNA". It matches the Rfam family "Bacterial small subunit ribosomal RNA", at positions 29 to 506 of the family's 1533-position model. The record is from RNAcentral.
GUGAACGCUGGCGGUAGGCCUAACACAUGCAAGUCGAACGGCAGCACAGUAAGCGCUUGCUCUUACGGGUGGCGAGUGGCGGACGGGUGAGGAAUACAUCGGAAUCUACUUUUUCGUGGGGGAUAACGUAGGGAAACUUACGCUAAUACCGCAUACGACCUACGGGUGAAAGCAGGGGAUCUUCGGACCUUGCGCGAUUGAAUGAGCCGAUGUCGGAUUAGCUAGUUGGCGGGGUAAAGGCCCACCAAGGCGACGAUCCGUAGCUGGUCUGAGAGGAUGAUCAGCCACACUGGAACUGAGACACGGUCCAGACUCCUACGGGAGGCAGCAGUGGGGAAUAUUGGACAAUGGGCGCAAGCCUGAUCCAGCCAUACCGCGUGGGUGAAGAAGGCCUGCGGGUUGUAAAGCCCUUUUGUUGGGAAAGAAAAGCAGCAGGUUAAUACCCCGCUGUUCUGACGGUACCCAAAGAAUAAGCACCGGCUAACUUCGU